UACGUAGGGGGCAAGCGUUGUCCGGAAUCAUUGGGCGUAAAGCGCGUGUAGGCGGCUCGAUAAGUCUGCUGUGAAAGUCCAGGGCUCAACCCUGGGAUGCCGGUGGAUACUGUCGAGCUCGAGUCCGGAAGAGGCGAGUGGAAUUCCUGGUGUAGCGGUGGAAUGCGCAGAUAUCAGGAGGAACACCGAUGGCGAAGGCAGCUCGCUGGGACGGUACUGACGCUGAGGCGCGAAAGCGUGGGGAGCGAACAGG
RNAcentral lists this ribosomal RNA (253 nucleotides) under uncultured bacterium. RNAcentral's name for it is "partial 16S ribosomal RNA". It matches the Rfam family "Bacterial small subunit ribosomal RNA", at positions 524 to 776 of the family's 1533-position model. The record is from RNAcentral.